This 695-nucleotide long non-coding RNA is filed under the name Musa acuminata (dwarf banana). RNAcentral describes it as "long non-coding RNA (MACU_LNC003123)". The record is from RNAcentral. Lineage: Eukaryota; Viridiplantae; Streptophyta; Magnoliopsida; Zingiberales; Musaceae.
GCCGACGUACCUGAAUCCAAGCUCUGAUGCUAUGUAUCGUGGUCCAUCACCGGUCAGGGAUGCUUCAGGUUACGUAAUGGCCUCACCGCAGCUAGAGCAACUACAGCAGCAACAAUCCCAUCCCCACCUUAAUCAACAACAGCAACCACAGCUCACCUCGGCGAACCCCCACUACAUCCACCACCACCCGGCGGCAGGUACAGUCGUUCCCAUGCCUUCCUACUACUCUAUUGCGGCCCAUUCGAUGCAGCAAUCGCCACAAACCUAUCAAAUCGAUCCUCAGAUUCCAAUGUACUACAUGCCUGUCCGCCAUACCUCGCCAUACACUUUGGGAACAGUUCAGCCCAAUUUAAUGGAUCCCAAUUAUAUAUCAUCAACCGCUGCGCCGGCUUCCGGAAUCGUGACAAAGCCUGACUUAACGAGCUACUAUAAGACAGCGGCCACAGCACCUGCACCUGCUGCAAUGCAGCCACAGCUAAUCCGUGUAGCCGCCAAUCAAACCCACCCCUAUGCCGGAACAGGGUAUAAUGUGAUACAACAUCCCCACCUGUCUCAGACCCCUGCAACAAUGGCUAACUUUGGUUAUGAAGCUGCCGCGGGUCCUGUCCAUCCCCAGAUGUACUAUUCUCAGGUCUCUUCACAAGCUGCAUUGUCGCCACAGUAUCAGACGGUGAGCUCCACAACUACGAUUCCUG